UCGAAACUGGUUUCCUUGAGUGUGGAUGAAGUAGGCGGAAUUUGUGGUGUAGCGGUGAAAUGCAUAGAUAUCACGAGGAACUCCGAUUGCGCAGGCAGCUUACUAAGCCAUAACUGACGCUCAGGCACGAAGGCGUGGGGAUCAAACAGGAUUAGAUACCCUGGCACUCCACGCAGUAAACGAUGAUUACUAUCUGUUUGCGAUACAAUGUAGGCGGCUGAGCGAAAGCGUUAAGUAAUCCGCGUGGUGAGUACGUUCGGAAAAAAUGAAACUGAAAGUGAUUUGGCGGCGCGCCCGCACAAAGCGAACGAGCAUGUUGAUUUUAAUUUCAAAUGGAUACGGAAGCAACCCUACCCCGGGGCUUGGAAAAGGGAACCGGGCCGUGGAAUGGAGAGAUGUCUUUUCCCUUUCAAGACGGAUGGUGUGGCGUGGCUGCAUGGUUUCCCGUCCGGCUCCGGCGCGGGUGGGUCGCUCUGCUGUGCGUGAAAUAAACGAACAC
Molecule: ribosomal RNA, 499 nt
Filed under: uncultured bacterium
Lineage: Bacteria
Description: bacterial SSU rRNA
Rfam family: Bacterial small subunit ribosomal RNA
Source: RNAcentral